ACGCGGGCGGUUCGCCGCCCGCGACACUGCGAGAAGUCCAUUGAACCUUAUCAUUUAGAGGAAGGAGAAGUCGUAACAAGGUUUCCGUAGGUGAACCUGCGGAAGGAUCAUUGUCGAGACCAAAGUUACAUCGAGCGACUCAGAGAACCCGUGAAAUAAGCGGCGGCGGCCGCCGUCGUGAAGCAGCUGUCCCGGCCGUUGCCCCCACCAUUGGAGGGGGCCGCAGCGAAGGUCUGCUGAAACCCCAAUACCGGCGCAGACUGGCGCCAAGCGAACUAUCGAAAAGCACGGGCCCGACACCGGGUCCUCGUGUGGUGGAGCGGCGCUGCGCGCCGCACGUAUUGACACGACUCUCGACAAUGGAUAUCUCGGCUCUCGCAUCGAUGAAGAGCGCAGCGAAAUGCGAUACGUGGUGCGAAUUGCAGAAUCCCGCGAACCAUCGAGUCUUUGAACGCAAGUUGCGCCCGAGGCCAUUCGGUCGAGGGCACGUCCGCCUGGGCGUCAAGCGUUGCGCCGCUCCGUGCCGAGUCCCCCAUCCCGCCGCAGUGGGGGUGCCGGUCGAGGCCCGGAUGUGUAGAGUGGCCCGUCGUGCCGGUCGGUGCGGCGGGCUGAAGAGCGGGUUGUCGUCUCGUUGGCCGCGAGCAGCGAGGGGUGGAAGAAAGCUGCUGCUGCGUUGUCUCGUGCCGGCCGAGAGAAGAUCACACCCUUCGUGCGAUCCCAUCCCAUGCGCCGCACUUCCGGUGCGGCGGCUUGGAAUGCGACCCCAGGACGGGCGAGACCACCCGCCGAGUUUAAGCAUAUCAAUAAGCGGAGGAGAAGAA
RNAcentral lists this ribosomal RNA (821 nucleotides) under Chiloschista yunnanensis. Its description in RNAcentral is "eukaryotic LSU rRNA". The stretch from base 349 to 504 matches the Rfam family "5.8S ribosomal RNA". Lineage: Eukaryota; Viridiplantae; Streptophyta; Magnoliopsida; Asparagales; Orchidaceae. The record is from RNAcentral.